UACGGAGGGUGCAAGCGUUAAUCGGAAUUACUGGGCUUAAAGAGUUCGUAGGCGGCAUUGCAAGUAGGGUGUGAAAGCCCUCGGCUCAACCGAGGAAUUGCGCUCUAAACUGCAGUGCUUGAGGAACCUAGAGGUGAGCAGAACAGAUGGUGGAGCGGUGAAAUGCGUUGAUAUCAUCUGGAAUACCGGAGGCGAAGGCGGCUCACUGGGAGUUUUCUGACGCUGAGGAACGAAAGCCAGGGUAGCGAACGGG
RNAcentral lists this ribosomal RNA (253 nucleotides) under uncultured bacterium. RNAcentral's name for it is "partial 16S ribosomal RNA". It matches the Rfam family "Bacterial small subunit ribosomal RNA", at positions 524 to 776 of the family's 1533-position model. The record is from RNAcentral.